This 1330-nucleotide ribosomal RNA is filed under the name uncultured bacterium. RNAcentral describes it as "bacterial SSU rRNA". It matches the Rfam family "Bacterial small subunit ribosomal RNA", at positions 45 to 1382 of the family's 1533-position model. The record is from RNAcentral.
UGCUUAACACAUGCAAGUCGAACGGAAAGGCCCUGCUUUUGUGGGGUGCUCGAGUGGCGAACGGGUGAGUAACACGUGAGUAACCUGCCCUUGACUUUGGGAUAACUUCAGGAAACUGGGGCUAAUACCGGAUAGGAGCUCCUGCUGCAUGGUGGGGGUUGGAAAGUUUCGGCGGUUGGGGAUGGACUCGCGGCUUAUCAGCUUGUUGGUGGGGUAGUGGCUUACCAAGGCUUUGACGGGUAGCCGGCCUGAGAGGGUGACCGGCCACAUUGGGACUGAGAUACGGCCCAGACUCCUACGGGAGGCAGCAGUGGGGAAUAUUGCACAAUGGGCGGAAGCCUGAUGCAGCAACGCCGCGUGCGGGAUGACGGCCUUCGGGUUGUAAACCGCUUUCGCCUGUGACGAAGCGUGAGUGACGGUAAUGGGUAAAGAAGCACCGGCUAACUACGUGCCAGCAGCCGCGGUGAUACGUAGGGUGCGAGCGUUGUCCGGAUUUAUUGGGCGUAAAGGGCUCGUAGGUGGUUGAUCGCGUCGGAAGUGUAAUCUUGGGGCUUAACCCUGAGCGUGCUUUCGAUACGGGUUGACUUGAGGAAGGUAGGGGAGAAUGGAAUUCCUGGUGGAGCGGUGGAAUGCGCAGAUAUCAGGAGGAACACCAGUGGCGAAGGCGGUUCUCUGGGCCUUUCCGGGCGCUAACGAGCGUAAGCGUGGGAGCGAGCGGAUCAGCAUGCCCUGGUAGCCCAGCUGUAACCGCCGGCUACUAGCUGCAGGGUCCAUUCCGCAGGUUCAGUGCCGCAGCUCCGGCUUUAACUACCCAACCUCGGGAGUACGGCCGCACGGCUAAACUCUAAAGGAAUUGACAGGGCCCGGCACAAGCCGCGGAGCACGGGGAUUAAUUCAGAUGCAACGCGUAGAACCUUACCUGGGUUCUGACAUGGAUCGGGAGUGCUCAGAGACGGGUGUGCCUCUUUUGGGGUCGGUUCACAGGUGGUGCAUGGCAGUGGUCAGCUCCGGUCGUGACGAUGUUGGGUUAAGUCCGGCAAAGAGCGCAACCAGCGUUCACUGUUGCCAGCACGUUAUGGUGGGGAGUCAGUGGAGACCGCCGGGGUCACCUCGGAGGAAGGUGGGGAGGACGUCAAGUCAUCAUGCCCCCUAUGUCCAGGGCUUCACGCAUGCUACAAUGGCUGGUACAGAGAGUGGCGAGCCUGUGAGGGUGAGCGAAUCUCGGAAAGCCGGUCUCAGUUCGGAUUGGGGUCUGCAACUCGACCUCAUGAAGUCGGAGUCGCUAGUAAUCGCAGAUCAGCAACGCUGCGGUGAAUAAGUUCCCGGCCCU